RNAcentral lists this ribosomal RNA (585 nucleotides) under Triticum aestivum (bread wheat). Its description in RNAcentral is "partial small subunit ribosomal RNA". The record is from RNAcentral. Lineage: Eukaryota; Viridiplantae; Streptophyta; Magnoliopsida; Poales; Poaceae.
AUGGCCAAACAAGUGUACGAGUGCAACUGGGUUCCCUCCCGUGUCACAGAAUCACAGCUGAAUGAUCUAGUCCUGAUCGGUGCUUUGGAUAACAAAGAUACGAUUCACUGGAGGGUUCCUGGAGAUGAAUGUCCUCCUACACCCCAGGAAGGAGAGGUCGUCGUCUUCGCAGAUCACAUGGCCCGGGGCUUCAAACCGCCCAGCUCCAAAUUUUAUCGGGAUGUGUUAGCCAACUUUCAACUCCGUCCACAGGAUAUUGGCCCCAACUCCGUCACCAAUCUAUGUCACUUUCAAGUACUUUCUGAGGCAUACCUUCAAGAGGAGCCUUCAGUCGAAUUAUUUAGAGAUCUCUUUCAUCUGAACCGCCGUACUGAAUUCACUGACGGCCCUAAUACCGAACUUGGCGGUAUGGCCAUUCAGAAAAGGAAAAAAUCACCUAUCCCCACGUCAAACUCCAUACUCACCCCAAGGAAUGGAACGCAACUUGGUUUUAUUGCAAGGAUACCUCUCCUGACAAUGAAAAUACCUUGCCUGGCUUCCGUCCGGAAUGGCUCAGCAACACUCACCCUUUUCCACAAAGGCUAA